GACGAACGCUGGCGGCGUGCUUAACACAUGCAAGUCGAACGGAAAGGCCCUGCUUUUGUGGGGUGCUCGAGUGGCGAACGGGUGAGUAACACGUGAGUAACCUGCCCUUGACUUUGGGAUAACUUCAGGAAACUGGGGCUAAUACCGGAUAGGAGCUCCUGCUGCAUGGUGGGGGUUGGAAAGUUUCGGCGGUUGGGGAUGGACUCGCGGCUUAUCAGCUUGUUGGUGGGGUAGUGGCUUACCAAGGCUUUGACGGGUAGCCGGCCUGAGAGGGUGACCGGCGACAUUGGGACUGAGAUACGGCCCAGACUCCUACAGGAGGCAGCAGGGGGGAAUCUUGCACAGUGGGCGGGAGCCUGAUGCAGCAACGCCGCGUGCGGGAUGACGGCCUUCGGGUGGUAAACCGCUUUCGCCUGUGACGAAGCGUGAGUGACGGUAAUGAGUAAAGAAGCACCGGCUAACUACGUG
RNAcentral lists this ribosomal RNA (468 nucleotides) under uncultured bacterium. Its description in RNAcentral is "partial 16S ribosomal RNA". It matches the Rfam family "Bacterial small subunit ribosomal RNA", at positions 28 to 507 of the family's 1533-position model. The record is from RNAcentral.